Molecule: unclassified non-coding RNA, 376 nt
Filed under: uncultured bacterium
Lineage: Bacteria
Description: contains 16S-23S intergenic spacer region
Source: RNAcentral
UCCGAGUUGACCCCGGCAGUCUCCUAUGAGUCCCCGGCAUUACCCGCUGGCAACAUAGGACGAGGGUUGCGCUCGUUGCGGGACUUAACCCAACAUCUCACGACACGAGCUGACGACAACCAUGCACCACCUGUGAGCAGCCCUUGCGGACCUGGUAUCUCUACCAGAUUUCUGCCCAUGUCAAGCCUAGGUAAGGUUCUUCGCGUUGCCUCGAAUUAAGCCACAUGCUCCGCCGCCUGUGCGGGCCCCCGUCAAUUCCUUUGAGUUUUAGCCUUGCGGCCGUAGUCCCCAGGCGGCACGUUUAACGCGUUAGCUCCGGCGCAGAAGGGGUCGAAUCCCCCCACACCAAACGUGCACCGUUUACUGCCAGGACUAC